Molecule: ribosomal RNA, 113 nt
Filed under: archaeon
Lineage: Archaea
Source: RNAcentral
UUGGACGGUCAUAGUGGCGAGGUUCCACCUGUUCCCAUUCCGAACACAGAAGUUAAAAUCGUCGACGUGUCUGGGUGUACUACACUUUGUGUGGGAAACCAGAUUCGCUGUCC